GAUGAAGAACGUAGCGAAAUGCGAUAAGUAGUGUGAAUUGCAGAAUUCAGUGAAUCAUCGAGUCUUUGAACGCACAUUGCGCCCCCUGGUAUUCCGGGGGGCAUGCCUGUCCGAGCGUCAUUGCUGCCCUCAAGCACGGCUUGUGUGUUGGGCCUCCGUCCUCCUCCCGGGGGACGGGCCCGAAAGGCAGCGGCGGCACCGCGUCCGGUCCUCGAGCGUAUGGGGCUUCGUCACCCGCUCUUGUAGGCCCGGCCGGCGCUUGCCGACACAUCAAUCUUUUUUCCAGGUUGACCUCGGACCAGGUAGGGAUACCCGCUGAACUUAAGCAUAUCAAUAAGCGGAGGA
Molecule: unclassified non-coding RNA, 345 nt
Filed under: soil metagenome
Description: partial contains 5.8S ribosomal RNA, internal transcribed spacer 2, and large subunit ribosomal RNA
Rfam family: 5.8S ribosomal RNA (bases 1-120)
Source: RNAcentral